UAAUAGCGUAUAUUAACGUUGUUGCGGUUAAAAAGCUCGUAGUUGGAUUUUGGGCCCUCUUUGCGGUCGGUCCGGUGUAAACCGGUACUGACGGCGGGGGCCUUCUGUCUGGAAGCGGCGCGGUCGCUCUUCACUGGGCGCUGCGUCGCGUCUAGGACUUUUACUUUGAACAAAUUAGAGUGUUUAAAGCAGGCGAUCGCCUUGAAUACAUUAGCAUGGAAUAGCCGAAUAGGACUUUGGUUCUAUUUUGUUGGUUCUAAGGACCAAAGUAAUGAUUAAUAGGGAUAGUUGGGGGCAUUAGUAUUUAAUUGUCAGAGGUGAAAUUCUUAGAUUUAUGAAAGACUAACUUCUGCGAAAGCAUUUGCCAAGGAUGUUUUCAUUAAUCAAGAACGAAAGUUAGGGGAUCGAAGAUGAUCAGAUACCGU
Molecule: ribosomal RNA, 425 nt
Filed under: uncultured eukaryote
Lineage: Eukaryota
Description: bacterial SSU rRNA
Rfam family: Eukaryotic small subunit ribosomal RNA
Source: RNAcentral